This 649-nucleotide ribosomal RNA is filed under the name uncultured Lachnospiraceae bacterium. Its description in RNAcentral is "bacterial SSU rRNA". It matches the Rfam family "Bacterial small subunit ribosomal RNA", at positions 91 to 754 of the family's 1533-position model. Lineage: Bacteria; Bacillati; Bacillota; Clostridia; Lachnospirales; Lachnospiraceae. The record is from RNAcentral.
CUUAGUGGCGGACGGGUGAGUAACGCGUGGGUAACCUGCCCUGUACCGGGGGACAACAGUUGGAAACGACUGCUAAUACCGCAUAAGCGCACAGCAUCGCAUGAUGCAGUGUGAAAAACUCCGGUGGUACAGGAUGGACCCGCAUCUGAUUAGCUAGUUGGUGAGAUAACAGCCCACCAAGGCGACGAUCAGUAGCCGACCUGAGAGGGUGAUCGGCCACAUUGGGACUGAGACACGGCCCAAACUCCUACGGGAGGCAGCAGUGGGGAAUAUUGCACAAUGGGGGAAACCCUGAUGCAGCAACGCCGCGUGAAGGAAGAAGGUUUUCGGAUCGUAAACUUCUAUCAACAGGGACGAAGAAAGUGACGGUACCUGAAUAAGAAGCCCCGGCUAACUACGUGCCAGCAGCCGCGGUAAUACGUAGGGGGCAAGCGUUAUCCGGAAUUACUGGGUGUAAAGGGAGCGUAGGCGGCACGUCAAGCCAGAUGUGAAAGCCCGAGGCUUAACCUCGCGGAUUGCAUUUGGAACUGGCGAGCUAGAGUACAGGAGAGGAAAGCGGAAUUCCUAGUGUAGCGGUGAAAUGCGUAGAUAUUAGGAAGAACACCAGUGGCGAAGGCGGCUUUCUGGACUGAAACUGACGCUGAGGCUC